AGACAAAAUUGACUUUCGUGAGACAAAAUUGACUUUUGUGUCACAAAAUUGAAUUUUGUCCAACAAAAGUCAAUUUUGUCUCACAAAAGUCAAUUUUGUCUCACAAACUU
RNAcentral lists this small RNA (110 nucleotides) under Mytilus galloprovincialis (Mediterranean mussel). The record is from RNAcentral. Lineage: Eukaryota; Metazoa; Mollusca; Bivalvia; Mytilida; Mytilidae.